UUCGGGAUUAACUGGGUGUAAGGGUUCGUAGGCGGUGCGGCAAGUUGGGAGUGAAAUCUCUGGGCUUAACCCAGAGGCUGCUUCCAAAACUGCUGUGCUUGAGUGUGGGAGAGGCGCGUGGAAUUGCAGGUGUAGCGGUGAAAUGCGUAGAUAUCUGCAGGAACACCCGUGGCGAAAGCGGCGCGCUGGACCACAACUGACGCUGAGGAACGAAAGCUAGGGGAGCAAACAGGAUUAGAUACCCUGGUAGUCCUAGCCCUAAACGAUCAGGACUUGGGGUGCCACCCGUUCGGGUGUCGUCCCGGAGCUAACGCGUUAAGUCCUGCACCUGGGGAGUACGGUCGCAAGACUGAAACUCAAAGGAAUUGACGGGGGCCCGCACAAGCGGUGGAACAUGUGGUUCAAUUCGACGCUACGCGAGGAACCUUACCUGGGCUCGAAAUGCUUAGGACCAGCUGUAGAAAUACGGCCUUCCCGCAAGGGACCUGAGUAUAGGCGCCGCAUGGCUGUCGUCAGCUCGUGCCGUGAGGUGUUGGGUUAAGUCCCGCAACGAGCGCAACCCCUGCACACAGUUGCCACUCCGCAAGGAGGGAACUCUGUGUGGACUGCUCCGGAUAACGGAGAGGAAGGUGGGGAUGACGUCAAGUCCGCAUGGCCUUUAUGUCCAGGGCUACACACGUGUUACAAUGCAGGGUACAAACCGUUGCCAACCCGCGAGGGGGAGCUAAUCGGAAAAAACUCUGCUCAGUUCGGAUUGCAGUCUGCAACUCGACUGCAUGAAGCCGGAAUCGCUAGUAAUGGCGUAUCAGAUCGACGCCGUGAAUACGUUCCCGGGCCUUGUACACACCGCCCGUCACAUCACGAAAGUGAGCUGUACUAGAAGUCGCCACGCUAACCGCAAGGAGGCAGGCGCCCAAAGUAUGACUCAUGAUUGGGGUGAAGUCGUAACAAGGUAACC
RNAcentral lists this ribosomal RNA (958 nucleotides) under uncultured bacterium. RNAcentral describes it as "bacterial SSU rRNA". It matches the Rfam family "Bacterial small subunit ribosomal RNA", at positions 543 to 1501 of the family's 1533-position model. The record is from RNAcentral.